This is a non-coding RNA of Heterocephalus glaber (naked mole-rat), 46 nucleotides long. The record is from Rfam. Lineage: Eukaryota; Metazoa; Chordata; Mammalia; Rodentia; Bathyergidae.
CAAAAGGUCCUUUUCAGGACCAACUACCUGUUUCACUCUAAAGAGU